CGAUGUCUAGGGGCUCUGAGAGGAUUGUCCCCCACACUGGUACUGAGACACGGACCAGACUCCUACGGGAGGCAGCAGUAAGGAAUAUUGGUCAAUGGACGAAAGUCUGAACCAGCCAUGCCGCGUGCAGGAUGACGGCCCUAUGGGUUGUAAACUGCUUUUAUACGGGAAGAAUCCCCUGUACGUGUACAGGGUUGACGGUACCGUACGAAUAAGGAUCGGCUAACUCCGUGCCAGCAGCCGCGGUAAUACGGAGGAUCCAAGCGUUAUCCGGAUUUAUUGGGUUUAAAGGGUGCGUAGGCGGAAUGAUAAGUUAGUGGUGAAAUCCCUCGGCUCAACCGGGGCACUGCCAUUAAAACUGUCAUUCUUGAGUACAGUUGAAGUGGGCGGAAUUUAUCAUGUAGCGGUGAAAUGCUUAGAUAUGAUACAGAACACCGAUAGCGUAGGCAGCUUGCUAAACUAUAACUGACGCUCAGGCACGAAAGCGUGGGGAGCAAACAGGAUUAGAUACCCUGGUAGUCCACGCCGUAAACGAUGAUCACUCGCUGUUGGCGAUACACAGUCAGCGGCUUAGGGAAACCAUUAAGUGAUCCACCUGGGGAGUACGGUCGCAAGAUUGAAACUCAAAGGAAUUGACGGGGGCCCGCACAAGCGGAGGAGCAUGUGGUUUAAUUCGAUGAUACGCGAGGAACCUUACCUGGGCUUAAAUGUAAGACGACAGUCCCCGAAAGGGGACUUUCCUUCGGGACGUCCUACAAGGUGCUGCAUGGUUGUCGUCAGCUCGUGCCGUGAGGUGUCGGGUUAAGUCCCAUAACGAGCGCAACCCCUAUCCUUAGUUGCCAUCAGAUAAUGCUGGGGACUCUAAGGAAACUGCCUACGCAAGUAGUGAGGAAGGUGGGGAUGACGUCAAAUCAGCACGGCCCUUAUGUCCAGGGCUACACACGUGCUACAAUGGCCGGUACAGAGGGCAGCUACCUGGUGACAGGAUGCUAAUCUCGAAAACCGGUCUCAGUUCGGAUCGAAGUCUGCAACUCGACUUCGUGAAGUCGGAUUCGCUAGUAAUCGCACAUCAGCCAUGGCGCGGUGAAUACGUUCCCGGGCCUUGUACACACCGCCCGUCAAGCCAUGGAAGCUGGGGGUACCUAAAGUCCGUAACCGCAAGGAGCGGCCUAGGGUAAAACUAGUAACUGGGCUAAGUCGUAACAAGGUA
This 1210-nucleotide ribosomal RNA is filed under the name metagenome. RNAcentral describes it as "bacterial SSU rRNA". It matches the Rfam family "Bacterial small subunit ribosomal RNA", at positions 277 to 1498 of the family's 1533-position model. The record is from RNAcentral.